UUAAGUUCAGCGGGUAUCCCUACCUGAUCCGAGGUCAACCUUUGAUGGAAAUUUUAACGGCGCGGCCCACCCUCUUCGCCAGCGAAUUUAAUGCCACAACGCUGGGAUUCGGACGGUCCAGCCGGUGAAAUUGGGGCGCGGGAGAGCCCCGUCGCCCAAUACCAAGCCAGGCUUGAGCGGUGUAAUGACGCUCGAACAGG
Molecule: unclassified non-coding RNA, 200 nt
Filed under: Dothideomycetes sp.
Lineage: Eukaryota; Fungi; Ascomycota; Dothideomycetes
Description: partial internal transcribed spacer 2
Source: RNAcentral